This 858-nucleotide long non-coding RNA is filed under the name Strigops habroptila (Kakapo). Its description in RNAcentral is "lncRNA (ENSSHBG00005001642.1)". Lineage: Eukaryota; Metazoa; Chordata; Aves; Psittaciformes; Psittacidae. The record is from RNAcentral.
GCUGGGCGGGCGAGGGGCGCGUCGCUGCGCCACAGACCCGGGGGCGGCCGGGCGGGAAGCGCCGUGCGGCGGCCGCUGGGGCUGGGGGAGGCGGGGGGUGCCGGCCGGUGCUAAUUCCUACUGCUGUCUUCAAAACUAAGCAAGCUCUUAAUCCAAUGGCUUUCAUCGCUGACCUGCAGAGCACCUGCGUGGAAUCAAAGCAGCUCUGGCUGAUCACCUAGCUUUGCCCCUUGCUCUGCUGAAACCAUCCUUGGAAAAGCACAGGUGGAUUCAAGAGUUCUGCCAGAGCUGCUGCUUCAAGCCAUCCACCAGCAAGGAAUCGAGGCAUCUGACCACUGUCCUGCAUAUUUCUGAGUUGUUAACAACUAUCACAAUUGCUGCAUGCAAAGUACCUGUACAUGAAGGGUUUUGAUUCAUUGUAUUACCUAUCAGGCUAGAAGGCUGCAUUUAGACGUGGCGUGAGCUCAACCUGAGUCUAAUUACAGUGUAGAAAAAAUAGCAGUGCAAAAUGUUACCAAUUUUUAACAGACUAGAGUAAGUGUAACCUACUUUCUCCAGAUACGAUCUGUGUAAAAAGAUCUUGGUUUAUCUGAACUAUUUGCAAUGCUAGAAGCAUCAGAAUUACUGCACUUUUAAAACCAAUUGGAAUGAAGGAAAGACUGUUCUAGCCGUGAAAUGUAUUUCAAGACCCAUUUAUUAAUAUUUGUCCUAAACUAAUUAGGUGAUACAAAGAGUAUACUUACUAAGAGUAAGUGCUAAAAUUCUGAGAAUGAUGCAUUUUAUUUCUCUCAGAAAACAGAAAUAAAAUGUUUAUCAAAAUCAUUGCUAAUGGUAUUUAAAAACAGAUUAAAAAUAAAG